This 873-nucleotide ribosomal RNA is filed under the name uncultured Brevibacterium sp. RNAcentral describes it as "bacterial SSU rRNA". It matches the Rfam family "Bacterial small subunit ribosomal RNA", at positions 39 to 916 of the family's 1533-position model. The record is from RNAcentral. Lineage: Bacteria; Bacillati; Actinomycetota; Actinomycetes; Micrococcales; Brevibacteriaceae.
GCGGCGUGCUUAACACAUGCAAGUCGAACGCUGAAGCGCCCAGCUUGCUGGGUGUGGAUGAGUGGCGAACGGGUGAGUAACACGUGAGUAACCUGCCCCUGACUUCGGGAUAAGCCUGGGAAACUGGGUCUAAUACCGGAUAUGACUACUGGCCGCAUGGUCUGGUGGUGGAAAGGGUUUUACUGGUUGGGGAUGGACUCGCGGCCUAUCAGUUUGUUGGUGGGGUAGUGGCCUACCAAGACGACGACGGGUAGCCGGCCUGAGAGGGCGACCGGCCACACUGGGACUGAGACACGGCCCAGACUCCUACGGGAGGCAGCAGUGGGGAAUAUUGCACAAUGGGGGGAACCCUGAUGCAGCGACGCCGCGUGCGGGAUGACGGCCUUCGGGUUGUAAACCGCUUUCAGUAGGGAAGAAGCGAAAGUGACGGUACCUGCAGAAGAAGUACCGGCUAACUACGUGCCAGCAGCCGCGGUAAUACGUAGGGUACAAGCGUUGUCCGGAAUUAUUGGGCGUAAAGAGCUCGUAGGUGGUUGGUCACGUCUGCUGUGGAAACGCAACGCUUAACGUUGCGCGUGCAGUGGGUACGGGCUGACUAGAGUGCAGUAGGGGAGUCUGGAAUUCCUGGUGUAGCGGUGAAAUGCGCAGAUAUCAGGAGGAACACCGGUGGCGAAGGCGGGACUCUGGGCUGUAACUGACGCUGAGGAGCGAAAGCAUGGGGAGCGAACAGGAUUAGAUACCCUGGUAGUCCAUGCCGUAAACGUUGGGAACUAGGUGUGGGGUCCAUUCCACGGAUUCCGUGCCGUAGCUAACGCAUUAAGUUCCCCGCCUGGGGAGUACGGCCGCAAGGCUAAAACUCAAAUGAAUUGACGG